UCCUGCACCUGUCCUCAGGGCUGCCUCCUCCAACACCUCCUCCCUGCUUCUCUUGUCAAAGGACCUUCUGGCUUGGUCUGAACUGUCAGGUUCAAUUUCUCGAGCUAAACCUUUGAAUCUGGCUGACCCACUCUUGAAUGGUCUUUGUUCCCCAGCUAAGAACCAGCUGAUCUCAGCCCCGGCCAAAAUUUGCCUCAGGGGACUUGCCUGCCUCUAAAUCAUAGCUUCUCUACUCAGUCCCAGACCUCUCCUCCAACUCCAUCUCUCCUCCCUCCUUCUAACCCACAUUUAUGAGGUACCUGCUCUGUGAGUGCUGGGCGGAUACAGACAUGGUGGAACUGGGCCCUGCUCUCCAAAUGCUGACAGCCUCCCAGUAAGAUACUCGUGCAGAACAAGGCAGCAUAGAAUAUAUUCUCUCUCUCUCUUUUUCUUUGUUUUGCCAGAGGUAAAGGAAAGUUCUGUGAGAGAAGGGAAGGAGGGGUGAAGACCAGUUCUGUGUUCUCCAGCUUCCAGUCACAUCUCAUUGGCACUAGAGAUAUGGAGAUGGAAGAAGAGAGAGUCAGUGUCCUCAGGGUCGAGGUGAAGAAGACAGAUGAUGUGCCAGUGUGAUGUGAUCAAGGCCAGCCAAAAUGACAACAUGGGAUGAAGGUAUGAUGAUGGCCCCCAAGGAACCUGCCCAGGCUGCUGUGGGAGCACCACAUCUUAGAAGC
Molecule: long non-coding RNA, 710 nt
Filed under: Homo sapiens (human)
Lineage: Eukaryota; Metazoa; Chordata; Mammalia; Primates; Hominidae
Description: HSALNT0001204
Source: RNAcentral